Long non-coding RNA from Oncorhynchus keta (chum salmon), 709 nucleotides. RefSeq lists it as uncharacterized. NCBI's taxonomy places the organism in Eukaryota, Metazoa, Chordata, Actinopteri, Salmoniformes, Salmonidae. The transcript has 3 exons. The record is from RefSeq and is a predicted model, not a curated record.
UGCUAGUUUUCCAUGACCUGGAAACUCUAGGCCCUAGUUAUAGCCUGGUCAAUAGGUCACAUAGUCGAGGAAACUCUAGGCCCUAGUUAUAGCCUGGUCAAUAGGUCACAUAGUCGAGGAAACUCUAGGCCCUAGUUAUAGCCUGGUCAAUAGGUCACAUAGUCGAGGAAACUCUAGGCCCUAGUUAUAGCCUGGUCAAUAGGUCACAUAGUCGAGGAAACUCUAGGCCCUAGUUAUAGCCUGGUCAAUAGGUCACAUAGUCGAGGAAACUCUAGGCCCUAGUUAUAGCCUGGUCAAUAGGUCACAUAGUCGAGGAAACUCUAGGCCCUAGUUAUAGCCUGGUCAAUAGGUCACAUAGUCGAGGAAACUCUAGGCCCUAGUUAUAGCCUGGUCAAUAGGUCACAUAGUCGAGGAAACUCUAGGCCCUAGUUAUAGCCUGGUCAAUAGGUCACAUAGUCGAGGAAACUCUAGGCCCUAGUUAUAGCCUGGUCAAUAGGUCACAUAGUCGAGGAAACUCUAGGCCCUAGUUAUAGCCUGGUCAAUAGGUCACAUAGUCGAGGAAACUCUAGGCCCUAGUUAUAGCCUGGUCAAUAGGUCACAUAGUCGAGGAAACUCUAGGCCCUAGUUAUAGCCUGGUCAAUAGGUCACAUAGUCGAGGAAACUCUAGGCCCUGUAGUCCUCUAACCCAACAGGUUGAAAUUUGUUCCAA